Jaapia argillacea is the source of this 104-nucleotide transfer RNA. It matches the Rfam family "tRNA". Rfam says of the family: Transfer RNA (tRNA) molecules are approximately 80 nucleotides in length. The record is from Rfam. Lineage: Eukaryota; Fungi; Basidiomycota; Agaricomycetes; Jaapiales; Jaapiaceae.
GGCCGACUGGCGAAAUGGCAUCGCGUCUGACUACGAACCGGAGGGGUCGAACCUUCAUUGCUUACGUAAUCAGGAGACUGCAGGUUCGAGCCCUGCGUCGGUCA